UACGUAGGGGGCAAGCGUUGUCCGGAAUCAUUGGGCGUAAAGAGCGCGUAGGCGGUCCGGUAAGUCGGUUGUGAAAACUGGGGGCUCAACCCUCAGAGGCCGACCGAUACUGUCGGGCUAGAGUCCGGAAGAGGCGAGUGGAAUUCCUGGUGUAGCGGUGAAAUGCGUAGAUAUCUGGAGGAACACCGGUGGCGAAGGCGGCAUCCUGGACCAACACUGACGCUGAGUGAGCGAAAGCCAGGGGAGCAAACGGG
This 254-nucleotide ribosomal RNA is filed under the name uncultured bacterium. Its description in RNAcentral is "partial 16S ribosomal RNA". It matches the Rfam family "Bacterial small subunit ribosomal RNA", at positions 524 to 776 of the family's 1533-position model. The record is from RNAcentral.